This is an RNA transcript of Leptopilina boulardi, 14682 nucleotides long. It is a transcript of the gene named serine/threonine-protein kinase NLK, with no coding region annotated. The record is from RefSeq and is a predicted model, not a curated record. NCBI's taxonomy places the organism in Eukaryota, Metazoa, Arthropoda, Insecta, Hymenoptera, Figitidae. The transcript is spliced from 11 exons.
AAAUCCAGCCAAGUUAAAGUCAGUGGCCAGAAAGCCUUCGGUGAAUAAAGUGUUGUGAUUUUCGCUCGUGGAAAAUCUCCACCCGCGUCUCCCCGAGCUUGCAGACUCCCUCCUUUUUGAGUGCGUUUGCUUGACCUUUAUUGAAAAUUGAACACUCAAACUCCGUAAGGACAGAUCUCAUUGUUCUCUGCCACGCAACUAUUCCCCAUACCCCUAGAAUUUUGUGUUUCUUUUUUUUUUUUUUGUUCUCUCCGUGUUAACAUUACUUUGUGAGGAUUCUAUACAUAUAUAUAUAUAUACAGUGAUUGCUGCUGCACAGCUGAGUGAAUGCGACAAAGAAAAAGAGAGAGUGAGUAAACCGAAUAACGUGGUGAACCUAACCUAUAAAAAGUGUUUCGCGAUAAUGAGAAGAUAAAAAGUGACUGAAAUAAAAAUUAAACGACUUGACUUCUCUUUCCCCUUAUAUACGUGAAUCUUUAAAAUACGUAUAUUUCUUUAUGAGGGCAGUGUCAAAGUGAAACGGAAUAAAAAGAAAAUUCAUGAUUUUUGUUGUGUGAUGCCAAUUGAGAAGGAGGACAUUGCUCCUUUCGGCAAUGAUAAGCGAGUGGAGCAGACGACAUCGAAGUAAACGAGUUUCUUGAGGGCUGGCACACGCGAUGCUGGAAAGAGAAGGUCGACAAGAAGGAAGGAAAAUGUUUCAAGAGUAAUAAAAAGAAAAAAAAAGGGGUAACAAAGCGUCAAGUGCACGUGGGCCUUAUGAAGACCAAUAUAAUAGGGAUCAGUUUUUAGUUAAUUGAAUUUGUGUAUGUGUGUGUUUGUGUUCUUGUUUUGUUGAGAAAGUUAAAAGAAGCUAGAGAUUUCGGGUUUGAGUUGCGUCGACGUUUACAAGAAGUGAAUAAAAGCAAGAGAAAAACGGGUCGCGUUUGGGAAAAAAAAAAAAAAAAGUUUUUGAAAAGUGAACGAAAGUGAAGUUUCGAGUUAAUUUUUUGAGGUUUUUGGUGGUAGGAAGCGAGACGAAGUGAGUUAAAUAGAAAGAGAGGAGAAGAUUGGUGGCCAGUGCUUAGGGGGGGCCUUAGGGAGGAUUUGAUGGCAGUAGUGGGGCCAAGUCGGCACUCGCGAGUGUCCAUGAGUGUGUCUAUGUCGCUGAUGCAGGGCGGCGGGGCGGGGGCGUCUGGUGGUGGGGCAACGGGGGCCCACCCGGGUCAAGCGGUAUUGGCAGCCGCUGCAGCAGCGGCUGCGGCCCAGGCGCCCCCCACCUACUAUCAUCCAGCGGCCCCAGCACCCCCUCCACCGGCCCAGGAUCCCGUCCAACCUGACCGACCCAUCGGCUACGGGGCCUUCGGAGUUGUCUGGGCUGUUACGGAUCCCAGAGAUGGUAGGAGGGUAGCGUUGAAGAAAUUACCAAAUGUCUUUCAAAGUCUGGUCAGCAGUAAAAGGGUUUUUAGAGAGUUAAAGAUGCUCUGCUUCUUCAAACACGAAAAUGUCCUUUCUGCACUGGAUAUAUUGCAGCCGCCACAUCUGGACUUCUUCCAGGAAAUAUAUGUCAUUACGGAGCUUCUUCAAAGUGAUUUGCACAAAAUCAUCGUCAGUCCACAGCAUCUUAGUCCUGACCACAUCAAGGUCUUCCUCUAUCAAAUUCUUCGAGGUCUGAAAUAUCUUCACUCUGCGAGGAUUCUCCAUAGGGACAUUAAACCUGGGAACCUUUUAGUAAAUAGUAAUUGUGUCCUAAAGAUCUGUGAUUUUGGACUGGCGAGAGUUGAAGAACCAGACCAAACGAAACACAUGACCCAGGAGGUAGUGACGCAGUAUUAUCGAGCACCGGAAAUUUUAAUGGGUGCACGACAUUACACGGCUGCAGUUGAUGUGUGGAGUGUCGGUUGUAUUUUCGGUGAACUUCUACAAAGAAGAAUUCUUUUCCAAGCUCAAAGUCCCGUGUUGCAGUUGGAGCUGAUCACGGAAUUGCUGGGAACGCCAACCCUCGAGGAUAUGAGGUACGCCUGUGAGGGAGCCAGAACUCAUAUGUUGAGACGCGCCCCUAAACCUUCCUCGCUCACGGCUCUUUACACCCUCAGCAGCCAAGCGACGCACGAGGCCGUACAUUUGCUUUGCCAGAUGCUAGUCUUCGAUCCCGACAAAAGGAUCACGGUGGUGGACGCUUUGGCUCAUCCGUAUCUAGACGAAGGAAGACUGAGAUAUCAUUCGUGUAUGUGCACGUGUUGUUACACAACGAGUGCUGGUAUGAGGCAGUACACAGGGGACUUUGAGCCAGCAACGUCGCAUCCUUUUGAUGAUUUCUGGGAGCGAAAGCUCACGAGCGUGCAUCAGGUGAAAGAGGAAAUGCACAAAUUUAUUGCGGAGCAACUUAAUACGUCGCGCGUACCACUCUGUAUAAAUCCGCAGUCCGCGGCAUUCAAGAAUUUUGCAAGUUAGAGCAAGACAUCCGCCAUCCCAGCACCGUGCGCCGCGUAUAUGUACACAUUGCCACUACCGAAUCAGCUAUCUGCCACUGUCAGCUACUACUACUAUCGUCUACUACUACUACUACUACUACCGAUCGUUACGUCUCCUCCUGAAAGAAACCGAUUGACCGAGAAACAGCUAUAAGUCGGCACAACCUCGCUAAGAGCUCAACAGUGGCGCAUCCUUCGGAAUUGCCACCGUCUCCCCAUCAAUGGGAAUAAAAGCUUCUUCGAGUUGGACACGAAUCGUCUUUUGCAGUCUUCUUGUUCCAAAAGCGAAUCUUGGACGUCGACGCGCACACAAAAAAAAAGUUUUUGGACGACUCAAGAAAAAAAAAAAAAAUAUAUAUAUAUAUAUAUAAAAAACUGUGAAGAAUAAGCCAAGAGAGACAAUAGACUGCCGAGCAAUGUAGCCUGAAAAUUUUUCGACUAGCUGAUUUAAAAAAAAAAAACACGAAUUUUAGGAGAGAAACGUAGCUAAUUAAAUAUGCAAUUUGCCGAAAAAAAACUACAAUGCAAAAAAAAAAAAAAAAAAAAAAUAGACAAUUACAUAAAAUAGGGAAUAUUUUCGAGAGACAUAAGCGAGAGGCUGAAUGAUUAGUUGAUAAGGGGAAACAAUGGAAAAAAGGGAGAGAAAUACGAGAAAAUCUCGACAGUGAGAGGGCCAGUUUUUUAGAUUUACUUUUUUUUUUUUUUUUUAUUUUUAUUUUUAUUUUUGUAAAUCACAAAGACGGCUGGCAUUUAAUGACUGUGAGUACUAAAGGUGGAUAUGCCUGGUACACCUUGACAAUUAUCUUUCUAUUAUUUAAAUCGAAUUGAUAGUGAUUCGAAAAUAUUUUUUUUUUUGGUAAAUAAUUUUUUCUUUCCUUUUCUUUUUAGAGAAAAGGAACACAGCGAGUUUAAUAAUUAUUAUUAUUAUAUCGCUUGCCUGAUGUGUUUAUAAUGUAAUUAACAAACAAAAGAAAAAAAAAAACUCCACUGAUCUUAAUUGCAUACGUCAAAUAUUAAGACUACUGUAGUUAGAAUUGUAAUCUAUAAGGAAGAACAAUCUGUAAUUAAAUCAAUUGAAUUGUAAUUUAAUCAACUUUCCACGACAGUGGCGAACGAGGCCAAGUAAUUAUAUUCUAAGAAGCACGUAUUCGUGUUGAUCUUAAUACAAAACGAAAAAAAAAAAAUGAUACAUUGUGUACAUUAUGAAACCAAGUAGGUCCAUCAUUUUUUUUUUUUUUUACGAUUUUUAAAAAGGGAAUUUGAGGACAAAUAUCCAAUUGUAAUUUGCUAAAAAUUGAUUGACUCUUUAAAAAAAAAAAAAAAUUCCUAACUUCAAUUACAUUUCUGAAUAAUUAUUUUUAUUCACAAUUUUGUAUUUGCAAUAAUAAUAAGCCCUUGUAAAAAAAACAGAAGAAUUAUUAAAUAUAAUUCUAUAAGAAAAAGUGAAUCAAUAAAAUUAAUUUGAUUCUAAAAGAUGAAGAAAAAAUAAUUGACGAUUUUUUUUAUAAAUAAUAAAUAAAUUUAAAUUAAAAAAUAAAUAAUUGGAGAAUUAAAUUUUUUAAAUUUAAAAGCAAGAAAAAUGUCCAAUUGAUUUGCAUGUUAAAUAAUUAAUACUCAAAAUUUACUUGACAUUGACAUAUAAUUUUAAUGAGAAAAAAAAAACAAUGAAUUUACAGAAUUUUUAGAAAAAAAAAAGAAAGAAACUCAACUUUGAGUAUGUUAAUAAAAAUUGUUUAAAAUCUAAAUUAUUAAUUUACAUUAAAUAAUUUAUUUAAAUUUUAACUAUUAGACGAAUAUUAAUUUCUCAACUGACAAAAAAUUAUUUCCAUUUUUGAAAUGUAAUUGAAGUCAGAAAUUGUGGGAAAUUUGUAAAUUUUUGAUUACAAUUAAGAUAAAUAGUAAUUUAUCAAUAUAAUAUGUAUUAUACUAAUGAAUGACUAUUAUUAUUUAAAAUAAGGGCAAAAUGUAAAAAAUGAGGGGGAUAAGAAUUGAAAAAAAAAAAAAUCAUUGAUAUUGUACAAAAUAAGCCGAUGGACAUUCGACAAAAUAAAUAAUUAAAGGCUGUAUUCUUAUUUGAAUGCAAUUACCGUUUUUUUUUUCGCAAUUUUGUGAACGACUAGAUAAGGAUAUUAUGCGGCCUUCCAAUUAAUGAACGAUUUCAAAGUAAAGCACUGCCGAACGUUUAAAAUGUGAUUUUAGAUUAAUUUUUUUAUGUCGUGCAAUAUCAGAUUUUAAAAGAAUUAAGCAAAAAAAAAAGUUUUUUUCUUGUUUUUGGUUAAAUUAACAAAUAAUUCUGUUUUCCAGUGACAACUUUUUGUUGAAAAAAUGGGAUUUAAUAUUAAAUUUCAAUUCAAUAACAUAAUUAUUCAAUUAAUUAAAUUACAACUUUCUUUUUAUUUCUAUUAAUAACUCUUGAAAAUUGAAAUUACGUGAAAGAACUCAAAAAAAAAAAAACAAACAAAAUGUGUUCUAAAUAACAUUGUGAUUAUUUCUAGAUAAUAAUCUAGAAAUUUGUGUUUCGCGCAGCUUUGCUUUACUUUGAAUCCUAAGGGGGAACCUUAAUCUAUGAAAACUUAGAACAAUUUUUAUUUAGUAAUUGAAUUUAAAAAUCCUUACUAUAGGAACGUGCAAUUCCUAUUUAAAAAAAAAAAAUAAUAAUAAAUCAAGUCGAGGACGAUAGUAAAAGUCAAAUUUUUUGACAAAAAAAACACUGCCGUUAAAUAAAAAAUAAAAAAAAAAUAUAUAAGAAAAUUUAUCGCAAUGAUUUGGCAAAUUUAAACAAACAAAAAAAAAAAGAAAAAAAAACAUUAAUUUAAGAAGAAAAAUGAAAAAUCGGUUGUCGACUUAAUAAUAAUGAUAAUAAUUAAGGGACUUUUUUUUCCUUCAUAAUAUUGUAAUAUGAAAAUCGAAAUUUCUUUGAUUUUUAAUUAUAGUCCAACAUUGGAACGAACUGUAGAUAUAUACAUAUAUAUUUUUACUUUCUGAGUGUGAUUUUAGAUUAAUUUUUAUUAUUUAAGAAGUCAUCGAGUUAAUUGCAAGAGUGUAUAAUUUUUGUAAUUAAUAGAUAGAUAGAAAUUUAAGUUUAAUUUGGUCUCAUCAUUUUUUUGAUUUCAUGUAUAUGAAACCCAUCCGCAUCCGCCAAUUUUAAGUAUAAUUUUUACAAUCCCCCUGGGAUUUAUAACGCCAGUAAAUAAAUUGAAAAAAAAAAAUCAAAUUAUUUUCAAAUAUUAAACUCUAAACGUUUUUUUUUCACAUAAAUAUCAUUUAUUUGACUCGAAUAAUAAUUAUUCAAAUAAAUAUUUAUAAUUCGUUACAAAAAAAAACAAAUUUAUUUAGUUUAAAUGAAUAACGGAUUAUUUUACGCAAAUGUAUAUAUAUUUGUUAAUAUAUGAGUUUUAAUUUCAUGAACAGAAAAAAAUAAAAGCGGGUCACAUGUACAAUAAUAUUAUUAAUAAUAGAAAUAAUAAUAAUAAUUAUGAUAGUAAUAAUAAUAUUAAUAAUUAAUAAUAAUAAUAAUAAUUUGCGGAUGGGUUCAUCUUUUAUUUUACGUACAGCAAGGCUCAAGAGAUCGCCGUUAAUAUUUUUUCGGCUCGAUUUAUUAAUAAAUCUAAGUUUAAAUGAAUUUAUUGUUUUAAGUAAUUUUUUUUUUUCUAUUUUUUAAGAAUGGUUUGAACAAAGUAAUAACUAAAAGAAAUCACGUGCGAAAUUACAGGGAGAAAAAAGUGGUUUUUUUUUUUUUUUUUUUUUCUUGAGAAAUAUCACACGCACAUGUUAUUCAAAAAAAUUAAUUUCUUGUAUUGUGACGAAAUUAUAUUUUUCAAAAAAAAAAAAAAAAAAUUUGCCAAUUAAGCGACAUUAUUAAAUUUGUAAAUAAUUUAAUUAACGCUUCUUGUAAUUAAAAAUUGUACAAUAAUUCAUCAAAAUUUACUCUUUUAUUUAUAAAAUUUUACUAUUUUUGUCAAAUUAUAAUUGUGAAAAAAAAUGACAAUUAUUCAGAAAAUUUGGAGAAAAAAUUUUUGUUUUUAAUUUUAUUGACUUGCAAAAAAAUUUGGUCAUUAGGUAAAAAUAAAUAAUUGGAAAAUUCUGUAAAUUUAUAUUUUAGAUUAAACAAAAUUGAUGGGAAAAAAAAUAAAUGUUUCUUUUUCUCAACAAAAAAUUUCAAUCCAUGACGAUUCGUUAAUUUAAGAAUUAAAAAAAAAAAAUGGAAAACAAUAGGUAAAAAUAAACAUUAAAAAAAUAUAUAUAUAUAUAUUAUAGGCAUGAUGUGACUAACGGCCUCCAAAUUUGAAAAGAAUUCUCAAAGUUUUUUUUUUUUUUUUUUGCCAAAACAAAAAUUAUCAUUGUUAUUUUUAAAAUUCUUUUUUGUUUCUAAAAUGCAAGGCUAAUUGGAUUGAGAUUGAAAUUAAUUGAAUGAACGAAACUUCUUUAACAGAAAAAUGAAGAAAAAAGGAAAAAAGAGAUGAGAGUUAAAAAAAAAAAAAUGUUUUUCAUGCUGCUACUUCUGUCAAGUUUCGUCCAUAAAAUGUAAAUUGUACAUUUCGUAAAUAUUACAAAUGGGAUUUCAAAAAAUAAUAAUAAUAAUAAUAAUAAUAAUAAUAAUGUAAAGAAGUUGCAGUUAGAGAAACUCGCGAAUCAGUGAGACAAAGUGUAUAAAAAAAAAGUACAAUUAAAAAUGAGUAAGAUGGGAGGAAAAAAAAGGGAGGAAAAUGGGAACGUGACUUUCUAUACAAGGAGUUUUGUAAAUAAUCCAUCAGCCAGUAAGCGUUACCCUCUCCUAUUGAUAGCCAGCAAAAGCUGCCGUUACAAUAAUAUUAGUAAUAAUAUUAGUAAUAAUAAAAUAAUAAUAAUUAUAAAAACAUUAUUAAUAUUAAUGAAAAUAGUAAUAAUAAAAAUAUUAAUAAUAAUAUUAAUAAUAUUAAUAUUAAUAAUAAUAAUAAUAUUAAUAAUAAUAAUAAUAAUAUGAAUAAUAAUAAUGGUAAUAAUAUUAUUAAUGAAAAACAUAGUAAUAAUAAUAAUUCGAUAAUUAGGAUUUAGACUUUCUUUCUCCCUGUAAGAUAAUCGCAUGCGAUAAUUCGUGGGGUGAAGAGUAAUUAUUUUUUUGGAAUCAUUAAAUAUUUUGCUCUACUUGCGUGUAAAUAUGUAAUUGUAGUUUUCAAAAAAAAAUUAAAUUUUUUCAUAAGUUUCCUUUUUUUUAAAUUUAGAAACAUUUUUUUUUUCUUACCUUAUUUUUUACCUCUUCACUUCACGAUGAGAUUCACAUCUUUCGCAGAUCUCAUUGUAUUAUAUAAAUAUGUACUUCAAUUUCCAAAACUAACUUUCGAGAAAAAAACCAAUAAUUCUUUUUUUUUAUAUAAAUAAAAAAAUAUUUUACAAAAUAAAAAGAAAAUACUUUUUUAAUUAAUAAAAAAAGUUAUAAGCCAAGUUUUGUGAAAUUGAAUCGGUUCUUUUUAAUUGCAAAUUAUUUUUUUUUUUGUACGAAAAUUACCGAUGAUAGUUAAGUUAAUUAAUGAAAUUAAUUGUAAAAUGAAUGUGUCAAAGAGAGUGAGUGAAAGAGAAAUUAUGUUUUCCUAUUAUUAAUAAUAAUAAUUAUAAAAAAAAAAGAAAAAAAAAAAAAAAAACAAUGAUACUUAACAAUGUGGCUUGUAAAUAUUGUAGCUCACUGUAGCUGGUCAGUCGGGCAUUUUAAAGACACAUACACAUAUUAAAUUUUGAAAAUUGAGAAAAAAGUUAUCACAACUACGAAACAAAAAAGUGUAACUGAAAAAUUAUUUUUUUUUUUUUUGCUUAUUAUUGUAACACAAAAUUUUAUGCGAUUAAAAAACAAAAUAAUAUGAGAAAAAGAUAUGCACUAUCAAUUUUGUAGUUUGCAUUUUUAAUAAAUCGAGGAAAAUUAUGUGGAGGCUAUAAGUAAUUUGUAACUACGAUAUUAUAAUUAUGAAUUUAAAAAAGAAGAAAAAAAAAAAAAAAACAAAUAUACUCCACGAUAGUAAUAUUAUUGCCUUCAAUUAUGAAAAAAAAGCGGCUGGCACAAGAAGCACCAAACAAUAAAGAUGCUGAAAUAAAUUUAAAAAAAAAAAAAAAAAAGAAGGAAAUGCAGUAUUUUCUAUAUUAUUUGCAGUUUUUUUUUUCGUUUGCGCACAUAUCCAUCUAUCCAUGUCCUUUUUUUAAUUUUCCCUACUUUUUUUUUUUAUAGAAAUAUUAUGGAAUUAUUUAUUAUUAUUAUUAUUAUUAUUUAUAUUAUGAAAAGAAAGUUAUUAUAAUUUCAGUGGAUUUUUUUUUUAAGCAAAAUUUAUUUUUUAAUUUCGAAGAUUGAGGUUCCAUUUUUUAAUUUAAAAUAACUGUACUUAAUUGAAGAAUAUUUAAGACGAGUACUUAAAUUAAAAAAAAAAACAACAAAUUUUUAUCUAUUGUUUUUGCUUUUUUUCUCACUGCAAAGCAAUUUUCUUUGUGAGAAAUUUGAAAUUCAAAAUGAAAUAUUUGCUUGUGAAAUCCAUUUGUACAGUAAAAAUUUUGACGUUUUAGCGAUAUAUGUAUAUAUCAAAUUAUAAUAUAUAUAUAUAUGUAUAGAGCAUAUUGAAAAAGCUUGAAACAAAAAUUUUUUUCUUGGUACUUUUUCAAAAAAAAAUUGUGCGUCGCGAGCUGAAAACUGUAAGGGGAUAAUCUAUCAAAAAAAAAAAAAAAAAUUCAGCGAUACUUGUCCCAAAUUUUUUUUUUUUUUUUUCUAUAAAGGGACCUAAUUAUAUCAGGUAAAUUUGGUUUGGUUAUAACAUAAUUUUCGUUAUAGCACUCUCUGUGAUUAAUCGAAAAUAUUUCUAAUAGAAGAAAAAAGAAAUAGAUAACCAGAAAGGCAUUAUUGGAUAGAAUUACAUAUAUAAAAAAAAGAAAUGAAAAAAAAAAAAAAAAAAAAUUUAAGUGUAGAGCAAUAGAUAGAAUUGCAAACAAUGUUUCAAAUAUAAAACUGUAAAUAAGUGCACUUUUUUUUAUACAAAUGCUCAUUUUGGUAAAGAAAAAAAGAAAGAAUAAGUCAAACCCUAGAUUCUCAGCCUGCGACAUUAUUGUAUAUAAUAUAAUGCGGGAUGAUUUUCAAUUGACAGUGAUAUCAUUAAUAAAUGUAAUAAUAAUUGUAUAUAAAUGUAUAUUAUCUUAAAAAAAAAAGAAAAAAAAAAUUGUACCGAUCUUAAUUAAUUUUCCAAUAUUAAUGAAUUCAUCGUCAAAAAAUAUAUGUCGCUUUGAUAUAUAUAUAUAUUGUAGAAAAUAGCGGUCAAAGUAAAGUGUGAUGACCUGUCGUUAGAAACUAAGAGGCCUUAAUAUAACACAUUUAUAUGAUAUACAAUUUAUGAUUAUAUGUGUGUAAAAAAAUACGUAAAAAAAAAUUUUGUGCUUUAUAAAUAUGUGCAUAAAAAUUUUCAAUAAAAAUGUCUACUUCAUUUUUUUUUUUUAUAUAUUCACAUCAUAUUCAAAUUAUUGACUUAAAAAUUGAAUUAAAUUAAUUAAAAAAAUUAUUAUAAAAUAUAAUUUUUAAGAUAAUAUAUGUGUGAUUAUAAAUACUAAUAAUGAAGUAGAAUAAUUAGAUAUGUACAGAUUAAUAGUUUAUUUGUAAAUUUGAAAGUAGUGAGCACUCUAUUUUUUUUUCAAUUGAAAUAUUAAUAAUUUGCAAUUAGUGGUUUCUUUUUUCUUUGCAAAAAAAAAAAAAAUGAAAUUAAAUAUAAUUUUUCUCUUAUAACUAUAAUUUUAAUUAUAAUUCUAAUUUUUAUAUAUAAUUCAGUAAAAAUUAAUUUAAUUAUAAAUAAUCCAUUAUAAUUUUGAUUUUUAAAAAAUUUAUUUUGUCUAAAAAAAAAAUAAGAAACUUAUUUUUUUAAAAAAAGCUUUUUACUAGCACUGACAAUUUUUUUUUAUACACACAAAAUUCUAAUAUAAAAUCAAUAUUUAAUAAAAAUUGAUGAUAUUUAAAAAAAAAUCUAUCAUUACAAAAAAAAGUUAUUCCUUAUAACAAUUAAAUUUAAUAACGUUUAAUCAUCAUAUAUAGUUCGAAAACUCUUGUCUCGUUAGCGAUUUUAUAAAAUAUAAUAAAAAAUUAAAUAAAAAUUCGAUUUUUUAAAAAAUAUUUUUUUUUUGUAAUAUAACAAUAAAAAUGUGGUAAAUUAGAAAUGAGGUAAAAUUUCGUAUUGUUAUAUGGCAAACUGAUAAUGUAAAGAGCACAUAAUUUAAAAAAAAUUUUCGUUUAAAUUUAUUACAAAAAAAAAAAAAAAAAAAAAAAAAAAAUUAUCGCAAGUAGAUCAACGAGCUACCGUAUAGGAAAUUAGUAGAGUGACUCGAUAAAUUUAUCUUUUUUCACCACUUUGUCACUCUUUAUUAAUAUUACGUUAACUGAUAAAAAUUCUUGUUGUAAAUAUAAAACAAAAUUUCGAAAAAAAAAAAUCCUAGAAAAAAGAAAUUAGAUUUCCUCUCCAUAUAAAAAUGAAGCAUAGUCUCUCCUUUUAUUUGUAAUUGAUUGAAAAAAAAAAAUUGAAAAAAAAUUUGAAUGAUUUAAUAAAAAAAAAUUUUAAUAUGAAGCAUUUAAAAAAAAUCAUAAUUUCUUAAAAAAAAGAAAAUUCAGAAAUUAUUUUACUCUAAGAGGAAAAAAAAAAAUUUCUUUAAAAUAUGAAAUUAAUUUUUUCUAGGUAUAUAUAAAAAACAAUAAUAAAAAUAAUUUAUCAUAUUGGUAUGAAUGUAAAUUUUUUUCUUUUUUUAAUUGUAAAAUAAUCUCAAAAAAUAAUGCGUACCUUGAAAGUAGCCGAAGCCUUUUUCGCGAGUAGAUUAUUAUUAAUAAAUAUUAGUCAUUGAAAAAAAUUGAAUCGUAACAGAAAACUGUGUUUAAAAAAAAAAAAAAAUAGUGACUUUGUCGAAAAAAAACUUGGCACAAACACCUCAAAAUAGAUAAUGUUGCAAAUAAUUGCUGUAGAUUAUCUAUUAUAAUAUAAUAUUCGUAUAUAAUAUUAUAAUAGCGAUUUAAGCCUUAACUAAUUUUACAAAGUGAAUUUAAUCGUUUUUACGAUAUAUUCACUAAAUUGUAUUAUAAAAUAUUUAAUGACGAUAAUAAUUAUAAGAAUAAUAUUGAGAAAAUUAAUUAUAUAGAUAUCUACCAAAAUAUAUAUAUAUAUAUUAAUUAAUUGAUAAUUAUAGAUGGUAGAUCUAAGUUCAGACAUUAAUAAUUAAGAAUCUCAAAUACUGUAAAUAAAAAAGUAUAUAAUCAGAAAAAAUAUUAUAUAUUCUAAAUCGUGUCUACGUAUAGAAUUUUUUCUAUAUAAAAUAAAAUAUGUCGGCUUUAAAAAAAAUAUACUACUCUCUGUUAAUUGAAAUUAAAUCGCAAUUUUCUCAUUCCUAAAAUUUUAACUAAUUUAGUAUGUUAUUAAAAAAAAAAACUGAAUAAUUUCAUUUCGAGAUUUACAUGUGAGAAUUAUAUUUUUCAAUUCAAACAAAAAAAAAUUUUUUUUUUUUAUACUAAAAGAUCAAUUUUUGGUAAUGAUUAAUUAUUAUUAUUUUUAUAUAUAAAAUUUUUAUUAAUAAUUAUUUGUUUAAAAAAUCAAUUAAAAAAAAUGAAAAAUAAUUAAAAUCUUACAAUUGUAAAUCUUGAUGUGAAUAAUUUCAUGUUUAGAUAAUAAUGUAAGGAAACAUUUCUUCUGCAUCGUGAAAAAUUUCGAAAACUGGACCAAUUUUUUUUUUGUUUUUUUUUUUUUUUUGUCUAUUGUGUAAAUAAUGAGAUUUUUCAAAUUAAUUCAUUUUGACUGGCAACACGUAAAGGAUGCAGAAGAAAAAAAAAAUACAAGUUCGACUUGAUGUUCUGUGUGUCUAAUUAAAAUUAGUGCUUAGUGUAAAUUUAAAAAUUCAUUUUUGUAUAUCACCCCUUUAAAAAAAUAUCUUAUUUUUUUAAUUAAAUAAAAUUUUUUAUUAAAAUUAGAUUUCAUUAGUUUUUCAAAAUUUUUAAUUCAAUAUUAUUUUUUUCUCUAGAACAAAAAAAAAUCUAAUUUUGUAAUUUCUUAAAAAAUCAUAUUAAUCCUUUAUUUGAAUAUGAACUAUUUAAUUAUUAAAUAUAUUUUAUUUGUAAAAAUGUCUUCCUCGAUAAUAAAUAUUAAAUUGAAAAAAUAUAUGAGACCCCACAUAUAUAAAUAAAGAAGUUUUCUUAUAUAUACAUAUAUUAAAAAAGGAUUAAUUUUAUCGCGUAACUGUACAGUUUACAAUUAAUAUAAAUUAAAUAAAAUUACAAUUAUAAAUGAGGAAUUUGUGAACAAAGCCUUAAAAAUGAACGUUUUUGUGUUUUACGAUACAAGAGACAGAAAAUUCAAUUCUUUUUUAUAAAAAAAAAAAGAAAUUCGUUUUUUUUCAAAUUUCUAACGUUUGAGGCAAAUCAGGUUGUAUAAUUAAUAUUAGAACGAAAAAAAAAUUGUAAAUAGUCAAUUGUAAUAUAAUUGUUCUCGAUGCCUACUCCUAAUGGUCGUAGUUCAGCAAAAAAAAAAAAAAAAAAAAAGGAAAUAUAUUAUAAAAAAAUAUAAAUAUAUAACAAAACUUAAUCAAUUCUAUGUGUCGGUUUUGAUUAAAAAAAAAUAUAUAUAUAUAUAUAUAUAUACGUAUAGAUUUUUUAUCAAUCUUUACUAUAUAUGUGUAAAAUGCGUAUAGUUGUAUAACUAAAAAAAAAUCGAUUUUAAAUUUCCGGAUAUUUUUCAUUUAGUCGCAAUACUUGUAAAUAUUGAAAAAAAAAAAUUUAAAUAAAUUUUUUUCCAUUUUAAUUAAACAAAUAUAUAUAUAAAAUACUGGGAAUUUAAUAGUGAUUUUUUUUUUUUUUUCAUAUAUUGUAGAUUCAAUUGUGUCUUUCACCUUUACGUAGGUCUUUUAACUCGAUUUACAAACACCAAUCGUUUCCUUUAUCGGAAUAAAAAAAAAGUAUUAAUUUAUAUAUUAAAAAUUAAUUAAUUUUUAAAUUCUUCCAAUUUAUAAUUUAAUUAUUUUUUCAGAGCAAAAAAAAAAAUUUUUAAUUCGGAACAAAAUCGAAAAAACUAUCAUCGAUUACGAUUCAGGAAACGAUUGGAUGAUUCAUAAAAAAAAAUGUCGUGCACGUCGUCGAUGUGUUUACACUAUUGAGUGUUUGAAUUUCAAAGGGUGAAAUUGUGUAAAAUUGGAAUUUAAAAAAAAAAGCAAAAAUAAAUAUUUUCCAUAUUCGUAAAAUGUCAAAAAAAAAAAAAAUGAAUUUUCGACUCCAAGAUAGAAUAGUCAUUAAAGCGAAAUUUUAUUCACUUUGGCAUCUUUAAUAAAAUUAUUAAAAAAAAAAAAAUUAAAAAAAUUUUUGUUUCAAAAAGAAAACUAUUUACAACUUCUUUGAAAUUAGAAAAAAAAAACUAUACAAACAAAUUUGUUAUGAAGAGAAAGUAUAUAAAUAGUGAAAAAAAAAAAAAUUGAAAAUGGCAAAGAAAUUCAAGAAAAUCCGACAUAAUAAAGUAUAAUAGAAUUUUUCAAGACUGGCAAUCAAAAUAAUAUAAAAAUAUAAGAUUUAUCUAAAAAAUUUCGUGACAAUUUGUUAUGAUAGGACAUUGAAAAUUACAUCUCUUAUCUUCUGUGAAAUAUGUGCUACUAUGUUUAAAUUAUAAUAUAGAAAAAUAUAAGUGUAAUAUAUAUAUAUAUAUAUAAUCAUUUAUUAAAAUGAAAAAACGUAUAGAAUAAAAAAAUAUUAUAUUAUAAUUACUUAAAAAUUGUAUAAGACAAGAGAUGUAAUAAUCCAUGUCUAUCAAUAAAAUGAAGAAUAUAACCUUUUAAAAAAAAUUAUAAAAUACAAACAUAAUAAUAAUAUAUUACUAUAUUAUAUCACUAUUACCACUAAUUACAAUAAUAAUAAAAAUAAUAAUAAUAUUGAUUAAUAACAAUUAUUAAAAAUUCUUAAUUAUUCCUCAUUUUCGCAAAGAAAUAAAUUAAUCAACAUAAAAUUUUUUUAUUCUUCGUCAAAUUGUCACAAAAUUUUUUUGAUACAUAAACAUGAUCGAAACGUAUUUAAAUAAAAAAAAAACCAUUGUCUUAGGAACAAAAAUGUUCAAAAUUUAUAAGUUAAAUGUGUGCAGCUCCAUUUCUAUAAUAAACCGAACAAUUUUAUGAAUAUCGCGCGUCUAAUUGUAAUACUAGUGCAUAUAGCUAGGUAGGUACCUGCAUUUUGUGAAUUUUAACAUGCUUGGAUAGAUUCUCAAUAAAAUCGUUAUACAUGUUUUGAUAA